Non-coding RNA from Meleagris gallopavo (turkey), 1617 nucleotides. Lineage: Eukaryota; Metazoa; Chordata; Aves; Galliformes; Phasianidae. The record is from RefSeq and is a predicted model, not a curated record.
UAUCACCCUCCCUUGAUGGGAUUAUGAGCUUGGCUUCUCAGAGGCACUGUCUGCUCCAGCUGGCUCAAACAGGGAGCAGUGUUCCUAAAGAAGGAAGACCUACAGAGGAGAAAUGUUCUGAAUGUCAGUGGGAUCCUUAGAAGAGCAAGUACAUCUGGAGAAGUGGCCCCUGAGAACUGUAAUAGAGAAGAAGGUGGAGAGCAAAUUUAUUAUUGAAAUGCAACGCACUAAUAACACUGAAAUAUCUUGGAGAAUGUAUCCUGAACAAUGAGCCCAAACCAGGCACGUAUAGUACAUGAUUUCAUGGGUACCUGAUGGAGGAGCACAGGUUUAAUACUUCAUGUUGGGAAUACUUUAGGGAACACAGCUGUCAACAAAGCAAGCAUGAGUUCGACGGAUCAAAGAUGAUGGCUGCUGCAAGGCAGAACAACGUGAAGGUGGAAUGUCAUGAAGGCCUCUUCUGCUGGUAAGCUGGACAUGGUGAUGCUGAGCUGGUCACCUAAAACCAGGAACAACUAAACAUAUGAUUAAGUCUGGGGAUGUAUUUCACUGCUGUUCUGUAUAAGAGACUGAAAUAUCUUACAUUUAGAUAUUGUACACAAGAAGGAUAAGAGAAGAAAUAUAAUUUUUUUUGUUAAAAAUCAGUUGCAUAUUUUUUCCACACGUAUAGAAAUAUAACUGAAAACUUUCUGUAAAACUUUCUGUUGCUAUUGUUGAUGGACAAAAUCCUUAUUUGUGAUACCAUCAGAUAUUUAUGAGAAAAGCUAAUACUAAAGAGGAAUAAAAAAAAAAAGAUGGACACACAGCAAGGAUGUUUGGUAGUUUGUUGGAGACCUUUCAUAUAGUAUGUGGCCAUGAAUUCUAAAAUGUUUCUGUUCACCAAAGCAAGUAAAACUCCUAUUGUCAGAACUCUGUAAUGAUUUCAGUGUUGUAACAUACCUGAAAAUGAUUAAGCAGCAGAUUUUUUUUUCCUUUUCUCUUCUGUUCUUUUUUUUUUAAAGAUAUACUGAAACUGAAACAAAUUUCCCUACACUUAAAGUAGUUAUUGAAAGGUAUAACUCCUCAAACAUAACAGUUUUAAAAUGUGUAUUUAACUUUAUGUGGGAGAACAAAGAAACAUAAGUAUAAUUGGUCUUUAAAGACAAGAGAAAGGAGGAGAGAAAAUGAAGGGGAAGUGAUUUUAUUUCCUAAGAAACCUGUCUUGACUUGCUGUAAGCCUUUCAAAUCUACUUUACUCAUCUAAAGCUGUACUGAUUGAACUGUAAUAAUGGUGACAUCACUGUUUUGUUUACACUGAAAUGUCUUUUGAGGGCAUCACAACAGAGAUGGUUUAAGGACAGGUAUUGAUUAUGCCUCAUCUUUGGAAUUUGGUAAUUAUGAUGGUGCACCUCAAACAUGCUGCACUUGUCCUCUAGUCUGUUUUUUCCUGAGCUUUAGAUUAUAAUCUCCUCAGGCCUGUGAUUAUUUCUUCAUAAGCAUUUAAAAACCACGUAGAACAAUAAAUCUCCAGCAAAGAUACAAGAAUAACUCUGCUCCUUGGCCAUACUAAUAUACAAUAAAUAUUUAGUCACCAUUUUUGCAGGUUGCUAUUGGUUUCUAUUUGAUCCUGUUGUUCAU